This 83-nucleotide transfer RNA is filed under the name Candidatus Woesearchaeota archaeon. RNAcentral's name for it is "tRNA-Ser". It matches the Rfam family "tRNA". Rfam says of the family: Transfer RNA (tRNA) molecules are approximately 80 nucleotides in length. Their secondary structure includes four short double-helical elements and three loops (D, anti-codon, and T loops). Further hydrogen bonds mediate the characteristic L-shaped molecular structure. tRNAs have two regions of fundamental functional importance: the anti-codon, which is responsible for specific mRNA codon recognition, and the 3' end, to which the tRNAs corresponding amino acid is attached (by aminoacyl-tRNA synthetases). tRNAs cope with the degeneracy of the genetic code in two manners: having more than one tRNA (with a specific anti-codon) for a particular amino acid; and 'wobble' base-pairing, i.e. permitting non-standard base-pairing at the 3rd anti-codon position. Lineage: Archaea; Nanobdellati; Candidatus Woesearchaeota. The record is from RNAcentral.
GGCGUCGUCGCAUAAUCCGGUAGUGCGUCCGCCUUGAGAGCGGAUCCCGCAAGGGGCUGCAGGUUCAAAUCCUGCCGACGCCG